This 495-nucleotide ribosomal RNA is filed under the name uncultured bacterium. RNAcentral describes it as "partial 16S ribosomal RNA". It matches the Rfam family "Bacterial small subunit ribosomal RNA", at positions 28 to 507 of the family's 1533-position model. The record is from RNAcentral.
GACGAACGCUGGCGGCGUGCCUAAUACAUGCAAGUAGAACGCUGAAGGAGGAGCUUGCUUCUCUGGAUGAGUUGCGAACGGGUGAGUAACGCGUAGGUAACCUGCCUGGUAGCGGGGGAUAACUAUUGGAAACGAUAGCUAAUACCGCAUAAGAGUAGAUGUUGCAUGACAUUUGCUUAAAAGGUGCAAUUGCAUCACUACCAGAUGGACCUGCGUUGUAUUAGCUAGUUGGUGGGGUAACGGCUUACCAAGGCGACGAUACAUAGCCGACCUGAGAGGGUGAUCGGCCACACUGGGACUGAGACACGGCCCAGACUCCUACGGGAGGCAGCAGGAGGGAAACUUCGGCAAAAGACGGAAGUCUGACCGAGCAACGCCGCGUGAGUGAAGAAGGUUUUCGGAUCGGAAAGCUCUGGUGUAAGAGAAGAACGAGUGUGAGAGUGGAAAGUGCACACUGUGACGGUAUCUUACCAGAAAGGGACGGCUAACUACGUG